UACAGAGGGUGCGAGCGUUGUUCGGAAUUAUUGGGCGUAAAGGGCGCGUAGGCGGUGCGGUAAGUCACCUGUGAAAUCUCCUGGCUCAACUGGGAGCUUGCAGGCGAAACUGCCGUGCUGGAGUGUGGGAGAGGUGAGUGGAAUUCCCGGUGUAGCGGUGAAAUGCGUAGAUAUCAGGAGGAACACCGGUGGUGUAGACGGCUCUCUGGACCGUAACUGACGCUGAGACACGAAAGCGUGGGUAGCAAACAGG
This 253-nucleotide ribosomal RNA is filed under the name uncultured bacterium. Its description in RNAcentral is "partial 16S ribosomal RNA". It matches the Rfam family "Bacterial small subunit ribosomal RNA", at positions 524 to 776 of the family's 1533-position model. The record is from RNAcentral.